RNAcentral lists this ribosomal RNA (196 nucleotides) under uncultured Acidobacteriota bacterium. Its description in RNAcentral is "uncultured Acidobacteria bacterium partial 16S ribosomal RNA". It matches the Rfam family "Bacterial small subunit ribosomal RNA", at positions 335 to 524 of the family's 1533-position model. The record is from RNAcentral. Lineage: Bacteria; Pseudomonadati; Acidobacteriota.
ACUCCUACGGGAGGCAGCAGUGGGGAAUUGUUCGCAAUGGGCGCAAGCCUGACGACGCAACGCCGCGUGGAGGAUGAAGGUCUUCGGAUUGUAAAUUCCUGUUGCCCGGGACGAAAAGCGUCGACCUAACACGUCGACGUCUGACGGUACCGGGUGAGGAAGCCCCGGCUAACUCUGUGCCAGCAGCCGCGGUAAU